This is a small nuclear RNA of Nycticebus coucang (slow loris), 192 nucleotides long. RefSeq annotates it as U2 spliceosomal RNA. NCBI's taxonomy places the organism in Eukaryota, Metazoa, Chordata, Mammalia, Primates, Lorisidae. The record is from RefSeq and is a predicted model, not a curated record. The transcript has a single exon.
AUCGCUUCUCAGCCUCUUGGCUAAGAUCAUGUGUAGUAUCUGUUCUUAUCAGUUUAACAUCUGAGACGUCCUCUAUCCGAGGACAAUAUAUUAAAUGGAUUUUUGGAGCAGGGAUUUGGAAUAAGAGCUUGCUCCAUCUACUCCACGCCAUCAAUGUGGUAUUGCAGUACUUCCAGGAAUGGUGCACCCCUU